UCCGAGUUGACCCCGGCAGUCUCCCAUGAGUCCCCAACAUUACUUGCUGGCAACAUGGAACGAGGGUUGCGCUCGUUGCGGGACUUAACCCAACAUCUCACGACACGAGCUGACGACAGCCAUGCACCACCUGCACACCAACCACAAGGGAAGCCCUAUCUCUAGGGAUGUCUGGUGCAUGUCAAACCCAGGUAAGGUUCUUCGCGUUGCAUCGAAUUAAUCCACAUGCUCCGCCGCUUGUGCAGGCCCCCGUCAAUUUCUUUGAGUUUUAAUCUUGCGACCGUACUCCCCAGGCGGCAUAUUUAUCGCGUUAGCUUCUCCGCACAGAGGGUCGAUACUCCAUACGAAUAAUAUGCAUCGUUUACGGCUGGGACUAC
This 377-nucleotide unclassified non-coding RNA is filed under the name uncultured Actinomycetes bacterium. RNAcentral describes it as "uncultured actinobacterium contains 16S-23S intergenic spacer region". The record is from RNAcentral. Lineage: Bacteria; Bacillati; Actinomycetota; Actinomycetes.